Pleuronectes platessa (European plaice) is the source of this 532-nucleotide long non-coding RNA. RefSeq lists it as uncharacterized. Lineage: Eukaryota; Metazoa; Chordata; Actinopteri; Pleuronectiformes; Pleuronectidae. The record is from RefSeq and is a predicted model, not a curated record. The transcript is spliced from 3 exons.
CUCACCGUUAGAUGGCAUCGUGACGCGACUAUAAAACAAGGGACCCACGUGAUCUCUGUGUAAACUGAAAAGGAAUAACCGAAACCUGUGGUGCCUCUUCUUCCCAUCUCUGUGACACUGGGAGGCUGUGGCUGUCUGAGCAUUGAAACAGUGGUGUCUCGGCUCCCUGAAGAGUCAGUCUCCCUGGGAAAAGCCAACAGGAGUCCUCUGUUUUCCCAGUGAGCACGUGAUGCCACAGAAUGAGUGGCUUCAGUCCAUUCACAUUCCACACAGGCCACAACAGACUGGAUGGAAGAGUACAACAUACAACAUGUGGUACAUACAAAAAAAAAGAUAUUCACUGUUAAAUCAGGUUAUUUCGCUGCAGACGUGUGUUGAAUGGUGAAUUUAUGACAUUUACAGGAAAAGAAAGAAUACACAAGUAGGAUUUUGACCUUCUGCAGAGUAAUUACCCUUUUUCUAUUCACAGUUUUGCGAGUUUUUGCUUUUUAAAAACUGUUAAAUGUCGACAAAUGUGACUCAACUAUUUUAA